Non-coding RNA from Macaca mulatta (Rhesus monkey), 338 nucleotides. Lineage: Eukaryota; Metazoa; Chordata; Mammalia; Primates; Cercopithecidae. The record is from RefSeq and is a predicted model, not a curated record.
UCUGUCUCAAACAACAAAACAAAACAAAAACCAACAACAACAACAACAACAACAACAACAACAAAAGAAGCUACAGUUGGAUAAUUGGAUAAUGGAAGAUAAAAUUGGAAAGACAGACUUAAGCCAGAGUAUAGAGAGUUUUGAAUGUCAGCUUGAUGAAGAUGACCUUAGGCACAGCGACCCUGAAGGCCACAUGUUAAAGAUAGUGGAGCCACAGGAUGGAAGGAAGCUGGUUCCCUGAAUCAUCACUUGGCAGAGAGCUGACCACUAAUCAGGAUCAUGUGUUUUAGAUUUCACUUGACCAAUAAAUCAAUUUCUAUUUUGUUACACUGCUAAAA